This 279-nucleotide unclassified non-coding RNA is filed under the name uncultured fungus. Its description in RNAcentral is "partial contains small subunit ribosomal RNA, internal transcribed spacer 1, and 5.8S ribosomal RNA". The stretch from base 1 to 73 matches the Rfam family "Eukaryotic small subunit ribosomal RNA", at positions 1759 to 1831 of the family's 1831-position model. The record is from RNAcentral. Lineage: Eukaryota; Fungi.
GCAAACUUGGUCAUUUAGAGGAAGUAAAAGUCGUAACAAGGUUUCCGUAGGUGAACCUGCGGAAGGAUCAUCAGCGAUUUAGCAAAUCCUAUCACCCGUGUGCAACAUGCGAAGUCUGAUAUCCUUGGAGAGAUCAAUUUUUGCUUGAGCUCUCCAGGGAGGUUAUCACAAUCAAUGUAUUUUUUCUUUUCUUACUCUUCUAUGUCUAAAUCAAUAAAUUUAAUCGAAACAACUUUCAACAACGGAUCUCUUGGCUCUCGCAUCGAUGAAGAACGCAGC